UACGUAGGGUGCGAGCGUUAAUCGGAAUUACUGGGCGUAAAGCGUGCGCAGGCGGUUAUGUAAGACAGAUGUGAAAUGCCCGGGCUCAACCUGGGAACUGCAUUUGUGACUGCAUGGCUAGAGUUUGGCAGAGGGGGGUAGAAUUCCACGUGUAGCAGUGAAAUGCGUAGAUAUGUGGAGGAAUACCGAUGGCGAAGGCAAUCCCCUGGACCUGUACUGACGCUCAUGCACGAAAGCGUGGGGAGCAAACAGG
Molecule: ribosomal RNA, 253 nt
Filed under: uncultured bacterium
Lineage: Bacteria
Description: partial 16S ribosomal RNA
Rfam family: Bacterial small subunit ribosomal RNA
Source: RNAcentral